GAACGAACGCUGGCGGCAUGCCUAACACAUGCAAGUCGAACGAGACCUUCGGGUCUAGUGGCGCCCGGGUGCGUAACGCGUGGGAACCUGCCCUUAGGUUCGGAAUAACUCCCCGAAAGGGGUGCUAAUACCGGAUAAUGUCUUCGGACCAAAGAUUUAUCGCCUUUGGAUGGGCCCGCGUUGGAUUAGCUAGUUGGUAGGGUAAAAGCCUACCAAGGCGACGAUCCAUAGCUGGUCUGAGAGGAUGAUCAGCCACACUGGGACUGAGACACGGCCCAGACUCCUACGGGAGGCAGCAGUGGGGAAUAUUGGACAAUGGGCGAAAGCCUGAUCCAGCAAUGCCGCGUGAGUGAUGAAGGCCUUAGGGUUGUAAAGCUCUUUUACCCGGGAUGAUAAUGACAGUACCGGGAGAAUAAGCUCCGGCUAACUCCGUG
Molecule: ribosomal RNA, 434 nt
Filed under: uncultured bacterium
Lineage: Bacteria
Description: partial 16S ribosomal RNA
Rfam family: Bacterial small subunit ribosomal RNA
Source: RNAcentral